This 552-nucleotide long non-coding RNA is filed under the name Nicotiana benthamiana. RNAcentral's name for it is "long non-coding RNA (NBEN_LNC018319)". Lineage: Eukaryota; Viridiplantae; Streptophyta; Magnoliopsida; Solanales; Solanaceae. The record is from RNAcentral.
UUCUGCAACAAUUCAAGGAACUAGGCUAAACUAUAUUUCUGAGGCAAUUAGUAACGUCGUAAAAGAAAUGUAGUAUAUGGAGAAUCAUUAACAUUCCCAAACAUAGAGAGUUAGCCUCACAUAUGUAAACUUCUUGCUCUUGAACAUAAUACAACUUCUCUAACCUUUGCAACUUUAAUUUAUAUCAAUACAAGUCAAUUGGGAUCACAUUCUCUAACCUUUGCAACUUUAAUUUAUAUCAAUACAAGUCAAAGGGAUCCCAAAUUAGCAACAAUAGUCAUGUUUUGGUCACUUAGGUAUUUUAUCAAACACUUGGUGGCAAAAAACUUCAUAACCCUUAUUAAUAGUGUUUCCACACCCAAAACCCCAUUCUCUUUCUUCUAGAUAAAUUCUAAAGUCACAAAUGAUUAUAAUUCGCAUUAAUGUUUUUCAAUCAUAAGGUAAACAGUAUCCUUAACUAAUAAUCAACAAUGAACACACCAAACCUAUAAUCGUUCAUGCUUUUCUAUCAAACCCAUCAACUCAAAUUUCAUGAACUAGAGUCUAUAAUAA